AUGGACGCGAGCCGCCGGUUCUAUUUCGGGAAAAUACAAAUUUGGAAUGGAUGGUACUCCCGAGUCGUAAGCGAACUCCGCCGGUUGACUCCAUUUUUAGAGCUGGUCUGCGCGUGCGCAGCGAGCGCGCUGCCAGUACUCAGCGAGCUGCCAUCACGCCGCGUCGCUCGCCACCCCCACGUUGUCGCCUACUGUCGCGUUGUGCUCCCAACACCAUCACCCAAGAGAUGGCGUCACGGACUGAACCACUGCUGCAUAUUAUUCAUAUGUAACUGGUAGUUGCUAAUUGCAACUGCACGCGCCUGCAGUACACUCAAGAAUGAAGACACAAAGCCUUGCGCGAGUUCCGUGCUUCCUUACUUCCCAUAGUGCUUAUUAUCGUAUGGAAUGUAAAGAAGUAUGGAGCUGCGCGGGCGUGCCCUCGGGUCCGGAAAUCGCAUCAUCCUGGUUCACAUGUGUGACAGAAGCUUUGUCUUGUUAUUUGUGAUCACAGUUCUAGUGUUACAUUUUAAUUUAAUUGUGUGAUGUAGCUGUUAGUAAUUCACUAGCAGCUUGUAUAAUUGACAUGGAUUUUUUACACUCUACAAUGUGAAAAGCAAUAUUUCUCAUUUGUCUCUAAAACAUUAUUCCUAGGAUGAGCUGUGAGGCGAGGGGGCAGCGGCGGGACUAGGGCAAUGACAGCGCGCACGCAUUACGAUCAGGAUCACUCACACAUAAGUGUAGAGGCGCGGCCGACCAACUCGACACACCAAGUGACCAACACGACUUAUCGUCCCUUCAACAACACAACUUUGCUCACUACCAUAGAUUCAAUAAUAAUUACCCACAAAUCAAGAUUCUACCCGAUCCGCGCCCUUUAAUAGCGAACGCCUUUUACUAUCGCACAAAAGACUCGUCUAUGAGAAAGGGAUCUUGACCUACCAGUUUGUUCGGUACGUUCGACUCUCAAAAACAAUUUAUUCAUGCAUCCAUGCAACGACUACAACCAACAAAAGAAUUUAAAACUAGACAGGGGGAUAAUGAAUACUAGACAAAGGGCAUUUUAAUAGAGUUACUUGCGUGCAAUUCGGUAUAGUGAUUUUGUUGAAGUAGAAUGCAUGUAUGAACGGGCCACUGAGAAUAUAAUAGAAAUCGUGUUGUAUGAAUGAUAACAUGUGCGUCACAGCUUUGGUGUAAUCCAUUUUUUAUACGAGUUACAGUAUCUUCAUAGAGAAAAGAUACGAGGAGAUGGAAUCGGUAGAUGUGUUGUUAUUCGCGGAUGACGUGCGAAAAUAACCACCAGACGAAUCGUUGGCAGCGCUCCAGAGGCCACAGAAAGUCUUCGAUGCCGUGCCUCACUCUACAUAUAUUUCCAUACAUUAUGCGUAGAUACAAUUAAAGUUAAAAGUAAAAAUUUGUUAAUCAAUGCUGCAGCAUAAAAACUUUAUACUACAGCAUAAAAUACGAGUAUAGGUACUUUAUAGGUAAUUUAUUGAAUGGAAGAAAAAUAUAGUUAUUGUCAACCAAAUAGAAUUCUGGAAAACAAAACUUCAAGAUUUACAUAAAUAGUAGGCGUCUACUAUGUACCUAUUCUUGUUUCUUUGUUAAGUAUCGUCUUUUUAUUUCCUAGAUUGAUUUAAACAUAGUUUUCUCCUUUUUCAGACAUGCUAUUAUGGGGAGUCGCGCAACAUUCAGAUACAACAGAUUUCAAAUGUCUAUUUAUUUUUCUAUUUAUCAAAUUUCUUUGUCUAUUUAUGGCAGAAUUCAGAUAUGAUUUGUUAUGAAACGUUUGCUCAAAUUACUGAAAAGAGAAUGAAUUUUUCAACCUGAGAAUUAUCGCAAAUCCAUUUAAUCAUUAAAUCAAUACUUUAACGUAGAAAUAAGAACCAUCAUCCAAAAGCUACUUAAUAUUUUUAGCUACGGACGCUAGAUGGCGACUCUUACACACUGAUACGACACUUAUGCGGACAAACAGCACAUGUAAAAUGAUUAAUAAAAAAACUCAAGGCUACAUUA
Long non-coding RNA from Helicoverpa zea (corn earworm), 1995 nucleotides. RefSeq lists it as uncharacterized. The record is from RefSeq and is a predicted model, not a curated record. The transcript is spliced from 2 exons. Lineage: Eukaryota; Metazoa; Arthropoda; Insecta; Lepidoptera; Noctuidae.